Molecule: ribosomal RNA, 253 nt
Filed under: uncultured bacterium
Lineage: Bacteria
Description: partial 16S ribosomal RNA
Rfam family: Bacterial small subunit ribosomal RNA
Source: RNAcentral
UACGUAGGCAGCAAGCGUUGUUCGGAAUUACUGGGCGUAAAGAGUUCGUAGUCGGUGCGGCAAGUUCGGUGUGAAAUCUCCCGGCUCAACUGGGAGGGUGCGCUAAAUACUGCCGUGCUCGAGUAUAGGAGAGGUAAGCGGAAUUCCUGGUGUAGCGGUGAAAUGCGUAGAUAUCAGGAGGAACACCUGUGGUGUAGACGGCUUACUGGACUAUAACUGACGCUGAGGAACGAAAGCGUGGGUAGCAAACAGG